This is a non-coding RNA of Rattus norvegicus (Norway rat), 4737 nucleotides long. NCBI's taxonomy places the organism in Eukaryota, Metazoa, Chordata, Mammalia, Rodentia, Muridae. The record is from RefSeq and is a predicted model, not a curated record.
UUGUUAUCUGCAGGGACAAAAGCAAGCAUCACAGUUUUCUAAAGGCGAGUGCUACUAAGGGCUGAGUUCACAUAUUCUAUAAGCUCCCGCCUGGGAGCCUUGGUCCUGAUCGGUUGUGUGCAGUAGACUGGCACAGGUGGUAUUUGUGUUACUCAGCAGGAAUUGGCUCCAAGCCAAACCCAGCUUGCUUACAGAGAUGGAGGCUUCCUACAUGCUGUUCUUGGAUUGGGAAGACAAUUGCCUCUGUUCUACCUAAGGCAGGCUUCCUAGAACUCAGGCUGUCUGCAGCUGGCCUCCUGGUACAUUUCUCUUGUUCAAAUGUUCUUCUCUGUCCUAUAUAAUUUCUGUGAUGAAUUUCAAUGACCCAGGCCAUAUUGGGCCAAAAGAAACAAAGAGAAAAAAAAAAGCCAUUACUAAUAACAUCUUCCCUACGGCUGGCCCAGUCCCAAAAAGGGGUCUUUAGAGCCAGUAUGAACACCCUGCUUUUAGAAGAGGCCCAUUCUGCUCCCCUCAGCCAUUCUGUUCUCCAAAGAGUUCUAAGUCAAGGCAUAGAGGACAUAUACACCUGGUUUCAGCACACUUACCUUUUAGACCGUGAUCGUGUUGUUUAAUACCCUACCCAAGGAGCACCAGAUCUAAGACCAGGCUAGAGCUGUUCCCCUCCCUACCAAGGGAUUCCAGGUAUUUGUGGUCACGAGUGACCAGGCCAGAAGUUUGGAAGAUGGACUCAGGCUUUGGGCUGUAGCUUGAACUCUGGCCCCUGCCUAAAAAAUAUAAAGGGUGUGGUCACAGCUUUCUCGUUUCCUGGCUUUGUGAAGUUCAUAAGAAUCACUUAUGAACUAGGACCAGAAUUAUGAUGUAGGCUAGAAAAAAAUAACAGAAAUGUUGAUUAUUUUAAAAACUUAGAAAUGUAUUGGAUUUGUUUUACUUAAAUCUAGUGACCUAUUUGUAAUGUAACUGAAUCCACUUGUUUUCUAAAUCUUUCCACUGAGACUUCAAAAAUACUAUUAGAGACAACAUUUACUAGUCCUUGCUGCUGGGUGAAAGGUAAAGCCAAGAGUAGAGGUGGGAGGCAGAGAUGUGUUUUCUUGGAUUCCCUCUGCCUUCCUUCCAUCCCCUGUGGGAAUGGGAGGGUCGGAGGAAUUUUAUACAACAGCAGGACCUCCUAGUGUUGCCUUAACUGAGAGCACACAGGGGUGACAAUUUACUCAUGGGAUCAUUUGGUAUUAAAUUAUAAUCAAAAUUUAAACAUAAACCUCUUAAAGAGAAAGAUGUGGUGUGUGUUGGUAUCUGGAAGCCUGAGGACUUUACGUGUUCACCUAAUUCUCUCACUGAAUUUGGAGCUAGGCUGGUUGGUGUCUCUACCCCUCACAGAGCGGGAGUUACGGGAAACUGCAACCAUGACCAGCUUUUCACAUACAUGCCAGGAUCUAAAGCCAGGUCCUCAUGCCUGCACAGCAAGCACUCUUCCCCACCGAGCCACCUCUCCAGCCUUUAUGCCCAUCUUCGAAGAAAGCAGCUCACAGACUAUUGGUUAAAAUCUAGAAUGUUCCCUCACAAUCCCCACGAGUUACAUCGUUGGCUCAGAUCUUUCUCUAAAUUUUAAGGAAUACUUGACCCUUUUCAUUUUUCCUGAUUGUAAGAACUGUCACCAUUUGACCACUCAUAGUAACAAGCUGUCCAGGGUGUAUGUUACACUAAACUUUCUGCCAAGUAGAACAUGACGUCAGCGCAGCCCUUGACAGACAUAAUGCCAGUGUGGGACGGGGAUACACUAACGCUUUCUGUAAAGGACCAGCCAGGGAAUAAACAUUUCAGGUUUUGUGAGCCACACUGGUUAGAACCAUUCAGUUCUGCCACUCAAGAAGUUAUAGGACAUAGAUAAGCAAGUUAUCCUGGCUGCGAUCCAAUAAAACUUUAAAAAAAAAAACCAAAAACCAGAAAUUGUUAUCUAUACGUGUGUCCAGGAGAUAUUGUUUGUAGAUUCUUGUUCUAGACAUCCCAAGAAUGUAAGCAUCUAGGAGUGAUUACCAAAGGAGAACCACAGUGGCCAGCAAAUUCAAGAACCUGGACGUCACACCCCCAAUUCUUACAGAAUCUGUGAAACCAAGGACGGAACUGGUUCACUGGAAUCACUGGAACCACUCCCCUUGGAUUCCUCCAGCUCCAUGAGAAAGGCAGCCACAUGAGAACGGCAGUGUUUAGAAUCUGGCUACUGAACAACACUGAAAUGGAUCUAGGAGCCAUUGUUCUCCACUUGGAACUGUCCUGUCUAGAAGCUACCAUGGUUCCCCCAGAGGGGGUUAGCAAAAUGGUCAUCCAGGGAUGUUUCCAGGAGGCAAAGCAAGCACUGGGUACACACACAGCCCCCGUCUGUGUUUUUAAAAACAGAGACAGUCACCCAGGCCCUUCUGGAACUGUCUCAUUCCUAAAGGUUCUCAAGAUAGAAUGUGCCUCUCUCUUUGAAGAUGUAUUUGGUUUAUGGUUGGAAUGUCAAACUCAAUGCCUUCAUGGGCUUGGCCAGUAAGCUAACCAUGUGCAUCCCCAAAUGCAGACGGAUCCCUGUGGGGGCCUUGCUUGUGUUAUGGGUAAACGGACUCAUAGGUGUCUGCUGGAUGGUAGCCAAAUGUCACAGUUUUUAUGCUCCACUUAUAAACGGAGGGUGUUCCCUGCACCGAAGGACAAUGACCAGUGUAGGUUUUCUCUGUUUGAGUGCUCCAAGGAGAGGGCGCAGCUUUACCCCAAACAUCUCCAUUCUGACCCUGCCCUUCCUUUAGUCUGCAAUAUCCAUGAGCAAUAGGAAUGCAUGACAUGUGGAUACACCGCAUGCAGAGAGACUGACGUGCAUGGAGGUGAGGCGGAGAACAAGAACGGCCUUCCCUGAAGCUAGAGGGAAGGGGUGGAGGAGGAACUCAGGGCUCAUGGCUGUCAGAUGAAGAGGUGACAUUUCUUCAGAUGGUUCCAGACCUCCCCACAGAUUCCCUACUCACAGGCCUGAGGGCAGCAGCAGGAAUCUGGGCAGCAUGGGCAGCGGACGUAGCAGCAGCAACUGUGAGGGCAGCACUGGCACCAGCAGAUCCCCACCAGCACGAAGAACAGGAAGAUCCCCAGGAUUACCAGGCCGACAAACACCCACUCUGGAAGGAUGCACAAAGAAAUCUACUCGAGGUAGCCCCCCUUCAGGACACGGCAUACAUGGAUGGGUGUCUACCUGCAAAAGUGAGAGAAAACAAACAGCUCGACAUUUUCUGAAUGGCUCCCUCUUAUCCAACUUCAGUACAUUGAUGUCCAAGCCAACCUUUCUAGAGAAUGAGAAAACUCUGUGUCUGUCUUGAACUGUGUGGAGAACAUUCUUGGAGAGGAUAACCAAUAGCAAGCAACCCAAGCCUUGACUUAGAAAAAGGAGGUAUACAAAAGGCUUAUCCAAGGGGAUUAGUUCAUCCUGGGAAAAGACAACCAACAUUAUACAGAUAAAUGCACCUCCCCCCACCAAAUCCUAACAAGUAACUCGUGACUAACGCAGAAGCAGACAGAUGGAGCGACAGCAAAUAAAGGGUUAAAUGAUGGAUGACAGCAAAUAAAGGGUUAAAUGGUGGAAUACCUGGCAUAAUCUCCACAGCAAAACUGGGCAAGAGGUCAGCAAGCAGCCCUGUCCUGCCUAGAGGAAGCAGAAGGAAAAGAAGAAGGAAGAGGUUACUCCAAAGGAAAACACAGCCCUGUUCCUGGCACUCGCUGGUGCCAAGCCCUCACAGGGCCACACUGCUCUGUACACUCUGUGGUAGGAGAGGUACAUCAAGGCUGGGCCUGGUCAAAGGGGAUGGCUAUACCAAGCACUUUGGGUGGCCAUCCAAGGGGAAGGGUGCACCUACCCUAGGUGGAAGCAGAAACGGGGCCUUGUCUCUGACUAUAGGAAGAGGAAAUCUCGCCUCCACGAGAGAAACCCUGCUUGAGCAGACUGACACGCUCCAGCCCCGUGCUUUCACACAGCCUUCUCCACACACUUCAGUGGAAAGUCAAACCCAUCUGUAUCUAAACAUUCAAUCUACAUUUUCAUACAAUCCAUACACAGCCCCAUGUCCAUAUCAAAACAAAAGUACAUAUUUGGUUUUAACUUAGAAUUAACUAGCUACAUGGUUCUAUUUAUGGCUUGAAGAUAUCUCAAUGAUUAAAAUGUUCAAAGGCGAUGAAAAGAUAACGCUAGACUGGCUACACACUCCUCUACACUCCUUCUGGCUUCAGAAAUACUCUGUACAUAUGUAUAUGGUAUGGUUUUUCCAUAUGGCACCCACAGCUGGCGUCGUAUGUGCAAAAGUGCCUUCUGUGUGAUAUUGCAUAGAAACUUCAAGAUUGGUGUCGGAACAGGUGCUCCUCGGGGACUCUGGGAAUUGAAGAGCUGCACAGGAAACACGGCGCUAAGUGAUUUGAAGGAGGACGUGAGUCUGACUUACAGAAGAUACUUUGCAUGUUUUCACCAUAGCCUGAGGUAUCACUACCACCCUGGAACUUUGCUAACAAAGUAGGACGCUCUGCUAGGAUGCAAAUAGCAAACGUCCCAUCUGUCCUGGGAUGACAAAAGGUCACUGUGGUACAUGUAAGGCAUGCACCUGAAUCCUUCUUGAAUUCAGAGUAUGGCGAACAUCUCCAGAACAGCACCAUCCAAUGACAGUGCAAUGCUAACUGCAUUGGUAACUUUAGCUUUUCCAGUAAUAGCAUUAAAAAUGUACACACAAACGGAAA